Molecule: long non-coding RNA, 2596 nt
Organism: Gopherus flavomarginatus (Mexican gopher tortoise)
Lineage: Eukaryota; Metazoa; Chordata; Testudines; Testudinidae
Exons: 2
Source: RefSeq, a predicted model, not a curated record
GCAAGACUUGCAAUAAAAUUGUAAGUUGGCAACACAGAACAUGUAGAUCUUCAAAAUACUUUACAAACUAGAAAAUCCUCACACCUGUGUGUGUUAGCAAAUAAGUCAUUAUCUUGCUUUGCAGAUGGGGAAACUGAGGCACUAAGCCAUUAAGUGACUUGGCCAGUGUCAUACUUCAAGUCAGUGGCAGAACCAAGAUCAGAAUUCAGGAGUUGCUGGCUGUAACCCAGUGCCAUACUCUAACCACUAGGCUGUAUGGCCUCUCUAGUCUCAAAUAAAAGAAGAACUCAGUGAGGCAGAGAGAUACAAGAAAGUUGUCUUCCAGCUAACUUGUGUCAGGAACUGCAGGGGAGAAAACUUUUGCCCUAACAAAGAUGAAGGUAUCACAAGAAGGGAGAGAGGGGAGACUGGCAACAGACAAGCUGAGGGAAGCAGGAAAGAGACAGGAUGCAUGCUGUAAAAAACAUUUUAAACUGUGGAAGGAUGGUGAAGUGGGGAGAAUGUUCAUCUGGGACAUGGGAGAGCUAGCUUGAAUUCCCUGCUUUGUGAUUGAUUUCCUAUGGGACUGUGGGCAAGUCACUUAGACCUGAUCACUGCAUGCUGAUUUUACUGGUAUAACUAUUUUGGUUACUGAAAUAAUUUUAUGUGAAAAACCCUGAGUGUGUGUGUGCAAUUAUAUUGAUAUAACACAUCUUUUUAGUGCUAUAAUUAUGUGAACACAUGCAGGGGUUGUACUGCUUCAACUUUACCAGUUAGUACAACUUUUUUGAGUAGAUAGGGCCUUAUUCUCUCUGGCCCAGAUCCCCAAAGGUAUUUAGGCACCUAACUCCCAUUGGUUUCAGGGGAGUUAGGUGCCUAAAUACUUUUGAGGCUCGGACCCUCUGUGCCUCAGUUCCCCAUCUGUAAAAUGGGAUCAGUACAUUAAAGACUGAGAGGUGCUCAGAGAGGCAGAAAGGUCUAGAUAGAUGCCUAAAUACCUUUGAGGAUGUGGGCUGUUGCUCCUGAAAUGAAUGGGACAGGAGACACUGGAGUAGCUUGUGGAUGGCAUUAAAACACAUAUUGGUUACAUGAUUGCAGGGAGACUGUGUUGCGUUGAUUGUUCUUUUACAUCUAUCGGCAUGGUGCCUGUUAUGCUUUUAGAUUGUGUCUCAGUCUCAUGCUGAGUCCUGUGGUUUGAUUAAAGAUCAUUAAGCAGCAGUGGGAUGAAACAUCACUGGAUGUCAGGUUUCAGAGUGGUAGCCGUGUUAGGGGGAGGAGCUUUUGGUUUGCACGGGGUACUUAAUACACAGGACAGUGAGACACAAAUUCUAAGUCACAGCACCUUUAAAGGGAGAAUGGGUUAGAAGGUGUUUCCAUGGGAUUCAAAGACACACUGUAGCUGGUGUCAAAGCCCCUCAGCUCCAUGUUGUGCUUCUUAUGUUCCCACAAAGCAAGAGAAGAGAAGAAGAAAGCUUGCUGUAGUCACUUCAUAUUGCUGAGUCAUUAACUUCUUUUUGCUGAGUCAUUCUGCAGCUGUGUCUGACAAACCAGGAGAAGACAAGCAGGACAGCUCAAGUCCCACCCAGUGAUCUCUGUCAGGAUGGGAUAUUGUGCUAGGUCACUGUGCAGCUGUUUUUGUCUGCAUUUGAACCUUGUUCUGCAAGUGUUUGCUACCUCAGACACUGCAAGGAGGCGCAUGAAAGCCAGAAAGUGAAAGUGAUUUAUCAUCUUCCAUUGUUGUAUGCAGUGUUGUUAUAACCAUGUUGGUCCAUGGCUAUUAGAGAGAGCACUUUCAGGCCACACAGAGCUCUUCUGAAGCAGCUCAAAAGCUUGUCUCUCUCACCAGUAGAAGUGAGUCCAAUAAAAGAUAUCAUCUCACACACCAGGUCUCUCUAAAGUGAGUUAGUUUUACUGUCCAAGCUGAGUGAAAUACAAGAAAGCAGGGCCUAGAAAAAUUGUGAAAUGAGUCAUUUAAAAAAAAACCUUUUGAUUUUCAUAAUCUUAGGUGUUACAUGUUACACAGGCAGGAAAUUGGGUUUUAAGUAAGAUUUAUUAUUUGAUAGCAUGCUAUGUUAAUGGCUUUUUGCACUGGGGAAAUGAGGUGGAGUCCCCUGUGUAACUAAUAAUAUUAACACAUCUAUAGUGCAUUUGUUUUUUAAAGCUAUAGUAUUGAGAUUCAGGAUCUGGUUUUCAAAAGGAGCUCAGCACACUGGAUGCUGAAUUCUUUUGAAAAUCUGGCCUCAAGCAUGAUUGCUGAACUCUCCAAAAUCUGAUCCUUUGGGGUUGUCUUUCAGAGGGGCUGUGCCUCCAGAACUCAAGAUGAAGUCAAUAGCUGCAGGUGCUCAGGGCCUCUGGCAAUCAGGCUCAAAUUUAUAAAGCAUCACAAAACCCCUCCUCUGAAGGUAAAAAGUAGCCCUGUUUUCAGGUAGGAAAAAGGGAGGCAGAGACCUCAUAUGUUUUGCCCAAGACCAGUCUAGUUGCAUUAUUCUGUGCUGCAGGUGGACUUGAAGAAUGCAUCACAAAUUAUUUUUUUUCCUCCUCCUGUAUUUUUCUUGCAGCUGGUUUACAUACAUAUGGUUGCAUGGUAAUGUUUGAAAUAAACACAACAUAAUUGCUA